Molecule: ribosomal RNA, 364 nt
Filed under: uncultured organism
Description: partial 16S ribosomal RNA
Rfam family: Bacterial small subunit ribosomal RNA
Source: RNAcentral
GUAUGGACCGAGCGUUGUCCGGAAUCAUUGGGCGUAAAGGGUACGUAGGCGGCCUAGUAAGUUAGAAGUUAAAGAAUAUAGCUCAACUAUAUAAAGCUUUUAAAACUGCUAGGCUUGAGAGAUGGAAGGGAAAGUGGAAUUCCUAGUGUAGCGGUGAAAUGCGCAGAUAUUAGGAAGAAUACCGGUGGCGAAGGCGACUUUCUGGUCAUCAUCUGACGCUGAGGUACGAAAGCGUGGGUAGCAAACAGGAUUAGAUACCCUGGUAGUCCACGCUGUAAACGAUGAGUGUUAGGUUCUUGGAAUAAUCUGGGAGCCGCAGCUAACGCAUUAAACACUCCGCCUGGGGAGUACGCACGCAAGUGUG